RNAcentral lists this ribosomal RNA (461 nucleotides) under uncultured bacterium. RNAcentral describes it as "bacterial LSU rRNA". It matches the Rfam family "Bacterial large subunit ribosomal RNA", at positions 13 to 514 of the family's 2925-position model. The record is from RNAcentral.
AAGUGCAUGUGGUGGAUGCCUUGGCGAUUACAGGCGACGAAAGACGUGUAAGCCUGCGAAAAAGCUACGGGGAGCUGGCAAUAAAGCUUUGAUCCGUAGAUGUCUGAAUGGGGAAACCCGGCCCGCAAGGGUCACUCCUGAUUGAAUAUAUAGAUCAGGUAGAGCGAACCCGGUGAACUGAAACAUCUAAGUAGCCGGAGGAAAAGAAAUCAACCGAGAUUCCGAGAGUAGUGGCGAGCGAAAUCGGAGGAGCCUGCAACCUUUAGUUUCUGAAUUAGUAGAACAGUCUGGAAAGUCUGGCCAUAGUGGGUGAUAGCCCCGUACGCAAAAUUCAGAAGCGGAAAUAGGGUUGGAACAAGUAGGGCGGGACACGAGAAAUCCUGUCUGAAUAUGGGGGGACCAGUCCUCCAAGGCUAAAUACUACGUAAUCGACCGAUAGUGAACCAGUACCGUGAGGAAGG